AUCGUCGUGAGGCGAGGUCUGAAGGACGCGUGUAGCAAAGCCACGACUUCACGAACAGAAACCUGAUAUGAGACCUACUAGGCCGGACGAGCAAGCACGUGAUUGCGAAGUCCAUGACCCUCAAGGGUCUGGGUGGUAGAUCUGGGGGUGUGUGGUGAAGGCGCUGUGC
Molecule: non-coding RNA, 169 nt
Filed under: Paraburkholderia steynii
Lineage: Bacteria; Pseudomonadati; Pseudomonadota; Betaproteobacteria; Burkholderiales; Burkholderiaceae
Source: RNAcentral